UGCUUAACAUGGGCAACGACAGGCC
Molecule: non-coding RNA, 25 nt
Filed under: Mus musculus (house mouse)
Lineage: Eukaryota; Metazoa; Chordata; Mammalia; Rodentia; Muridae
Source: RNAcentral